Molecule: long non-coding RNA, 1430 nt
Organism: Oreochromis niloticus (Nile tilapia)
Lineage: Eukaryota; Metazoa; Chordata; Actinopteri; Cichliformes; Cichlidae
Exons: 3
Source: RefSeq, a predicted model, not a curated record
AGGAAAGUGCCUACUGAUGAUGUGCAUGGGCCUGAUAAGAAAUGAUAAGGGCCAUUCACUAGGGUGGCCACAUUUGAAUCAGAUGGUGAGGCAUAUGUCAUUCUGGGCUACAGUUGCAUUUGCGAAAAGUCCAACUCCAAAGUCUUUGAGACCUAGCCUCAAGUGCCCUCGAUGCAGAGGUCCAAUCUCCUUUUCUUAUUAGCAUUGACCUAGGAACAACUACAAUUCAUCAUGCUAAACAGUGGAAAUGUGAAAGGUGACCUUUAAAUCUUAAAAUAAAGGCAUGAAGGUGUUGCAUCCUGCUGCAGCAGCUCUAUACCAAAUAACACCGAGCUGCUCCUGAUUAAAGAAAAAUGAAUGCCUUCUGGGUGAGGUGUUUUGGACAUGUCUUACUGGGAGGACUCCCCGCGGUGGACCCAGGACACACUGAAGAGAUUAUGCCUGCUGGCUGGCUUGAGAUCACCUCAGUGUCCCCCAGGAUGAGCUGGAGGAGGUUGCUGCGGUGACCAAUAGUUUGCAUGUGAGAGGCCAGCUUGUCUGCAAACACUCAUAAACUACUUGCCAAGUGAACUGUGAGUUCAAAGUAAUCCGGAAAGAGGGAAUGUCUGCCUUAAAAGUAAAAGUCUGCUUUUUCAUAUGUGUUGAUAGCAGAAGUAAGGCACAAUUUUUACUUCAAAGGCGAACUUUCUCCAUUUCCGUCUUUUUUUUUUUUUUGCACACUGCUUUCAAGUUUCGCUACAGCUCAGAGAGUACUUAAUCAGUGUUUGCAGACAAGUUGGCGUGUUUCAAGCAAAAUAUGUGCAACUGUAACCAUCUGCUAGUGACCAAAGCAAUCACAAGCUUUUUAGUUUAGACUCUCUGUGUGACAGAUUUCACCCAAGUCAUAGUGACUGCUCAUCAAAAAGUCUGGGAAUCCAACUUUUUUGGGGGAUUAUCAUCUGAUCAUCUACAGGUCUCUAAACCUGUAUGCAUGAGGCCCAAGAAGACACAACAUAUAUGUAACAAAAUUUAGAUUUGAGAAUAAAACCUCUAACAUGUGAAGUUUUCUCAGAAAUAAAUCCUCUGCUAUAGUGACUGUCGGCAUAAAACUGCCUCCUCUGAUGACAGUGAAACUAAUCAAAUUAACUAAUUAAAUAUGCAGCACACAUCGAGCCGAGAUUGGUCGUCUGCAUGUCACAGACAGCCAUGAGUUGUUUUCUUUUUUUAAGGUUUAAGUUUCUCAGCUAUGUAAGUGUUUUGUUAAAUAAAGAGGUUAUUUCAUUUUUAUACACUUCUUAACAGAUAAAUAGAAUGACAUCUUGCGAAACUAUCAUUUGCUUGUAUUUCAGCCAAAUGUGUGUCACUUGGCCGAAACACCAGAGGAGCAGGUUGUGUUUUUCUCCUGCUGUGUACUUUAUGAACAACCUUUCAGUUUUGCAAAUGGUUCAACA